Molecule: transfer RNA, 73 nt
Filed under: archaeon
Lineage: Archaea
Description: tRNA-Thr
Rfam family: tRNA
About the family: Transfer RNA (tRNA) molecules are approximately 80 nucleotides in length.
Source: RNAcentral
GCCUGCGUAGCUCAGUUGAUAGAGCGCAACACUCGUAAUGUUGAGGUCGUCGGUUUGAUCCCGGCCGCAGGCU